This 548-nucleotide ribosomal RNA is filed under the name uncultured bacterium. Its description in RNAcentral is "bacterial SSU rRNA". It matches the Rfam family "Bacterial small subunit ribosomal RNA", at positions 355 to 896 of the family's 1533-position model. The record is from RNAcentral.
UGGGGAAUUUUGGACAAUGGACGAAAGUCNGNUCCAGCCAUGCCGCGUGCGGGAAGAAGGCCUUCGGGUUGUAAACCGCUUUUGUCAGGGAAGAAAUCCUUUGAGCUAAUACCUCGGGGGGAUGACGGUACCUGAAGAAUAAGCACCGGCUAACUACGUGCCAGCAGCCGCGGUAAUACGUAGGGUGCAAGCGUUAAUCGGAAUUACUGGGCGUAAAGCGUGCGCAGGCGGUUAUGUAAGACAGAGGUGAAAUCCCCGGGCUCAACCUGGGAACUGCCUUUGUGACUGCAUAGCUUGAGUGCGGCAGAGGGGGAUGGAAUUCCGCGUGUAGCAGUGAAAUGCGUAGAUAUGCGGAGGAACACCGAUGGCGAAGGCAAUCCCCUGGGCCUGCACUGACGCUCAUGCACGAAAGCGUGGGGAGCAAACAGGAUUAGAUACCCUGGUAGUCCACGCCCUAAACGAUGUCAACUGGUUGUUGGGAAGGUUCCUUCUCAGUAACGUAGCUAACGCGUGAAGUUGACCGCCUGGGGAGUACGGCCGCAAGGUUG